GAUGAACGCUGGCGGCGUGCCUAAUACAUGCCAGUCGAGCGAACAGAUGAGGAGCUUGCUCCUCUGACGUUAGCGGCGGACGGGUGAGUAACACGUGGAUAACCUACCUAUAAGACUGGGAUAACUUCGGGAAACCGGAGCUAAUACCGGAUAAUAUAUUGAACCGCAUGGUUCAAUAGUGAAAGACGGUUUUGCUGUCACUUAUAGAUGGAUCCGCGCCGCAUUAGCUAGUUGGUAAGGUAACGGCUUACCAAGGCAACGAUGCGUAGCCGACCUGAGAGGGUGAUCGGCCACACUGGAACUGAGACACGGUCCAGACUCCUACGGGAGGCAGCAGUAGGGAAUCUUCCGCAAUGGGCGAAAGCCUGACGGAGCAACGCCGCGUGAGUGAUGAAGGUCUUCGGAUCGUAAAACUCUGUUAUUAGGGAAGAACAAAUGUGUAAGUAACUAUGCACGUCUUGACGGGACCUAAUCAGAAAGCCACGGCUAACUACGU
This 496-nucleotide ribosomal RNA is filed under the name uncultured bacterium. RNAcentral describes it as "partial 16S ribosomal RNA". It matches the Rfam family "Bacterial small subunit ribosomal RNA", at positions 28 to 506 of the family's 1533-position model. The record is from RNAcentral.